AUAUAUAUAUAUGGAUAAAAAAAUUUAACUGUAUAUGAACGGCCCAGAUAUCUUUUGAACUGAGGAAGCAAACCCCACCAAGAUUUUGCCGCGUCAUCAUCAAUCUUCCCUACUUUUGGAACCUCUGGGUAGUAGUAGUAUAAUUUUGUGGUUGAGGGGCUGGCUAAGUCUUAGGUUUCAGUCAGGGAACUGAAAGGUAAGGGUUUAUUUUUGUGCGACUUUGAACAGAGAGAUUAUGAGCCAUUUGUACUACAUGCAUGAGGGCGGCGGCAGCAGCAGCAGCAGCGAGAAGUUCAAAGAUUUGGAAGGUAAUCAGAGCAGUAAGGCAAAGGAAAAAAGAAGAAAGAAGCAAAUCUGGGUCUUACUAAGUAAAUCCUCAAUGGUCAAUGCCCACAUUGUUACUGUAACUACUGGACUCGAAGCCCGAACUGGUACAGAAGAAUUUGGCCUGGGUGGUUGGUUCUUGAAGCAGGGAUUGUGAUAGAAAAGUUCACAUAGUUGUUGUGUGAAAGAACAGUUCCAGCAUUAUAAUUUGUGAUUUUAAUCAGCAGUGAAUAAUAAUCAUAAUGGUCGUUCAAUAGAAAUGCCGAAUCGGAUGCCCUCAACUGACCUAUGGUUGCAGCAUCAUGUUUGCUUAGUUUUGAAAAGGUAUAGUGGGAUAUUUGUUCAAUUUGGAAUUUCGUUAUGAACGUUCUAUGCAAUUAUAUCAUUCUUUUUUAUCCAAGGACAUCAUGUAGUUGAGCUUAGCAAAGUCUGUUACCAGAGCUCGGAACUAUGCCAACCAUUUGUAUUAGACCUUUGGGUUGACAAACAUUUGACCAUUAGAAUUUGGAUUAACCUUCAGUAUCAACCAUUUGUAGCUUUUGUCAUGUCUUCGUUGGAUAAAGUAACAACUCUCUCUCACUCUUUUUGGCAAAGGGGUAUCCAUUUGUCCUUUCGGAGAACCACAACUUGCCCUCCAUAGCUUGAGACUAGUUGUGCCAGGUCACAUUAGUCCUUGGGUUGAUGAGCCAACCUUGUUUUUAGAUAAAGUAACGUCUAUUGCAUGACUCAGCCAGUUGUGCCCAACUCAUGUCAUUGAGGAUGGGGGUUUGUGUCAAAAUUCUAGGUUCGAUUACAUAGCGGUCUUCACGGUACGGAGAGAAUGGAUUUUCCUUGUAACUUAUAAGGCUAUAUACAAGCUCACAAUGAGAUUUAGGACUGCUUUAUCAAUCUAUGGAAUACAGCAUCAUUGAAGCCCGCCCUUCAUUUCUCUUGUCGGAUUAAGAAGGAUGGCCUUCAAGAAAGCUUGAUCUCAACUGUUAGGUCUGAAAGAUGGCCAAAUCAUUGAAGUUCACCAAUUUAUCUUCUAUACUCAAGAUGGCCUCCCAUACAAACCAGGUACUGUAAUUGGAAAGAUACAUGAUCCUUUUACAAGGAAAUGCUCUGUUUUGUUUGGUACCUAUGAUACUUUGGUGGAUAUCUCCUUUUUAUAUGGUUCAUUGUAUUCAAUAUAUCAAAUAUUUGUAUCUAUGUUGUGACUUCAUGAAUAAGGUCCUAGCUACAUACCUUGUUAGGUCAUCCUGAGAUGCUUGGGCUAUUGUCAUCCUGAGAUGCUUGGGCUAUUGUCAUCCUGAGAUGCUUGGGCUAUUCAUGGAGCUCAAUUACAUGUUUUAGUCACAGAUUUUAGUUAAUUCCAGGAGCGCUAAAUAAUAUUGCACAUCCUCAAACA
Populus trichocarpa (black cottonwood) is the source of this 1711-nucleotide long non-coding RNA. RefSeq lists it as uncharacterized. The transcript has 2 exons. The record is from RefSeq and is a predicted model, not a curated record. Lineage: Eukaryota; Viridiplantae; Streptophyta; Magnoliopsida; Malpighiales; Salicaceae.